UACGUAGGUGGCAAGCGAUACUCGGAAUCACUAGGCGUAAAGCGCAGGUAGGCGGUUCGGUAAGUCUUUUGUGAAAGCUCCUGGCUUAACUGGGAGAGGUCAAAGGAAACUGCCGGGCUAGAGUUUGGUAGGGGAUACUGGAAUUCCUGGUGUAGCGGUGAAAUGCGUAGAUAUCAGGAGGAAUACCUAUGGCGAAAGCAGGUAUCUGGGCCACAACUGACGCUGAGCUGCGAAAGCUAGGGGAGCAAACAGG
This 253-nucleotide ribosomal RNA is filed under the name uncultured bacterium. Its description in RNAcentral is "partial 16S ribosomal RNA". It matches the Rfam family "Bacterial small subunit ribosomal RNA", at positions 524 to 776 of the family's 1533-position model. The record is from RNAcentral.